ACAUAGACCAGCUCGCUCCCGGUGGACAGGAAGACCUCCGCCCCGUGGCACAGCACGCGAGGCUUGCCCACCGCCAGGCCUCCGAGCGGGCAGCAGAAGCCCGCCAGCCACCAAGAAUGCUCUGAGAACUGAUGGGGAAGGGGAAAAGAAAAGCCGGAGGAGUCCAGAAGGUCUCCGCACUCAGCACUUAGAGCACAGGCUCCGGACGCGCAGGCUCAGCGACCAUGGCUCACGGGCC
Molecule: long non-coding RNA, 238 nt
Organism: Aethalodelphis obliquidens (Pacific white-sided dolphin)
Lineage: Eukaryota; Metazoa; Chordata; Mammalia; Artiodactyla; Delphinidae
Exons: 3
Source: RefSeq, a predicted model, not a curated record